Molecule: unclassified non-coding RNA, 2505 nt
Filed under: Leishmania donovani
Lineage: Eukaryota; Euglenozoa; Kinetoplastea; Trypanosomatida; Trypanosomatidae
Description: gene:unknown
Source: RNAcentral
AAGGAAGAGAGAAGCGAUUGUUCAGCUUUUCAGCAUGUCCAUUCUCUGCCGUGCAAACGUGAGCUCAACCCCGCUCGACCCUCCCCCCACGGCCUGCCACAGUGCCCCCAUCGCGUGGUGCGAAGAGGCCCUAGACACACGCGUUACAGCCAUGCGCCGACUCGGUCACCGGCGAGUACGGCCCCCGCCGCAUGCUCUACCCACUCCGGCUUCGCAGGCCGACCCGCCGCCGCUCCCAUCAUGCCGGGCGUCAUUUGGUGCAUCCCCCUCGGGGUGGCGCAGGCUCCCCACGCCAGCAGUGGGCAGUGCGAGGGUCGGGUGAGAUACGCUCGAGUCACGUUGGCACGUUGCCUAUCAUGCGGAUGGCAUACAAUAUAUUCAAUGUCGGGGGUUGCCUCGACGCCGCGCCAUGCAGGGCCUGACCGCCGACAUCAGCAGCGAUACAUCGCUCUGACCUCCCUACGUCACUGGUGCUUGACCUUGUAACCACCAGAAGUGUUAAGGCAUUUUGUCAGGGAUAGGGAAGGGGAGGGCUGCUUGGCUUCCUCACAGAGAGUGCGGUGGAGACCGGACCGCGUGAUAUUAACACGCGCUGACAUCCCCCACGUCUGUCAUCAGGUAAGGGAGAAGAGCUAAUGGAAAGGAGUGGACGGGAGGGGCGGCACAUCGAGCGGAAGUGGCGCCCCCUCACUCUGGGCUUUUGCAUGUGUUGCCUUUUUCUCUUAUUGCUUUUUUUUUUCGGCUCUUUCCUGCCCUCCCUGCCAUCCUCUUUUCCCUCCGCCCACACUCUGCCAACUGUGGCGGCCACUCGUUCUCAUCUCUGCGCUCUUCUCUCUCUGGGAGUGUGCAUCUCUGAGUGCUUGUGUGCCGGUGCUUAUGUGUGAUGGCGGGGCCGGAAGCGAGGGAAUGUCUGUUUGAACCUUCAGCAAAUGUCUUUGCUGUUUCUCAAAUACCUUUCUCUCUGUGCCCCUCCCGCAACCUCCCCCGCCCUACCUCCUCUACUCGGUGGCAGCCCGCUCGCUCACGUGUGCAGAAUGAAAGGCUGCAUCACUGGUGGGCGCGUGCGUGUGCGUGUGCACGUGCCUCUGUCUCUCUUUCGCUCUGCCUGCCUGGUGCGAAAGGGGAGGGCACGCUUUACCCGUGAAGACGCACACGCACGCGCCCACGUCUCCUCUCCCUUUUUUCCUUCGUCUCUCUUCCCCCUCUUUCUUCCCGGUCACUGAUUCUCCGUUGGCGCAUCGCUCUGCCUUCCGUCUUCGGCUCGGUGUGAGUCGCGCUCUUGUCGGUGUGCCUCGCUUCCUCGUUUUGCCCUCUUGUUUUUCAUGGUUCAGUCCUUUCUUCGUCGUUUUUGCUCUGGACACCCUCACUGAUGUUUGCUGCGCCCCCCUCCCCCUUCCCUUCUCUCACCCCCACCAUCUACAACGACAGAUGCUGGGAUGGGGACAGGUGCACCCGCAUACGCACACAUGGACGCACAGAGACACGUCGUGUCGGCAGCCCUCCAAAAGCAAGGGGAAGUGGCAAGUGAGGAUUUCCACGGCUGCGCAUCUUUAUGCGCGUAGCGUCAAGGAAAAACAGUGAGAGGGUGGAGAGAGAAAGGGGCGGAUGGCGCGGGAGGCCAAGGAAGGGACAGUGCGCUCGUGCGUGAGCGUCUCGGUGCGCACGUGUGGUGUGGCAGCGGCGGGGAGGUGGAGAUGCACCUUUUUUAGCCUUCACCGUUUUUCUUCUCUCAUUCCCUUCUCCUCAGUGUGCGACACUCUCUGCCUCCUCCCUCUCCCCUACUUCUUCUUUGGUUCCGUUCGUGUGCUCCGUUGGUUUUACUUAUAACGAAGUUGAAUGCCGCGUGUUGAUCUGUACAACGCACCAAGAGUGCACAGGCAACGUGUGUUGACUGGAAAGGUGUGGAUGGAGGAAUGACCUGUGCGCCUGGUCGCGAAGGACCAUGGUGGCGUUCGUAUGCGUGUGGUUAUGAAUAAGAGUUGUUGAGCACUUCGAAAACGAAAAACAAGAGACGAAUGCAACGAGGGACGAGCACUUGGAUUAUGAGGUGAUUACGCUUGGCCAACAUUUUGCCGCGCACGCCCUCUCCCCACUGAGGACUUGGCCUCGGCUGUAUGACGUUCUUGCUUGCUAGCUUCUCUCUGUAUGUCUGCGUGCUUCGGCUCUCUUCUUUCCGCUGUUGCGGAUUCGGCACGUGCGCGUCGCGCCGAGAUGUGGUGCAGAGGGCUGAGGCAAAAGGAGGAGGAGGACAUCAACCGUUGCUUCCUAUGCGGCAAAUCACACACACACACACACACACGGUCGUGUCUCUUAUCCUUUCUUUCUCUCGCUUUCUCUCUCUGAGGUUUGCCACCACUCUUCUGCCACCACGGCGACCCCCCCCCCCCCCCCCCCCGCACUUUUCUUCGACCUUUCCGUGGUGUGGGGUUGUCUCUCUGUCUCCUCCUCUCUUAUCACCCGCCCCUCUGUGCACGUGCGGACACUGCUGUGUUUGCCUUUGGCUAG